AGUUCCUACCUCUAGGUUCUGGCCUUGAAUCCCUGUCCUGACUUCCCUGGACGAUGGAAUACAAGCUGAGAUGAGAAGCCGUGGAUUCAUUCCAGAUUAAAGAAAAUCAGCUUUGAUUGGGGAAGACUCCCUGAAAUCCUGGCUACAAAAAGAGAAGAAGAAGAAGAAGAACUACAAGACAUUUUAUGUAUUUUCAGAACAAGGGGACCACACACCAAUGAAAACAGGUAGCCCAGAUGAUCCAGCAUCUCAGAAUGCCUCUGUUACAGUCUCCUCAGAAUUCUGCAUCCAAAACAGCUUCUAGGCUGCUGGCUGAGAUGGACCAACCUCACAAACUACUCCAGCCAAGACCUAACAAUUAUCCUGAAUUUCUCAAGGUUCCCCAAAGAUACCAGUGCUCCAGACAACAGGAAGUAGUCUAAAGAAUGACACCCACAUGCCCAAAAUAUUGGUGUGUAUGUUUGUUAUUAUUUAAGCGGGGGAGGUGGUUACAAGCUGUUAUUGGUAAUGGUCAGAAAAAAAAAAACUGAACAAAGGAUCUUAUUCUGAAAAGAAAAAGGGUAGAUUAUUGAAUCUACUUUAAUCCAAAAAACAACUAUUAAUCUCAAAAUAUUUUACAGUGGUAUGGAUUUUGGUUUAUUGAUACAAAUUUAAAGUUAAUUUUGUUAUACUGUAUGUAUGUUUCUACUCUUAUUUGGGGUAUUGUGCUUAUACAACUCAUUUAAAAAUGUAAUGUAUAAGCCAGGCGAUGGUGGUGCACGCCUUUAAUCCCAGCACUCGGGAGGCAGAGCCAGGCAGAUCUCUGUGAGUUCAACGCCAGCCUGGGCUACCAAUGAAUUCCAGGAAAGGCACAAAGCUACACAGAGAAACCCUGUCUUGAAAAACCAAAAAAAAAAAAAAUGUAAUGUAUAAUUAAGAAAUAUAGAUUAAUAGUCAUCUAUAAUAGUCAAACUUAUAGUCGUGUAUGUUUUCAAGGUGAUGCACGGAUAUAUUUAGAUAGAUAGAUUGUCUUCAAACACUUCAAAGACCUACAAAAUAUGCCAUUUAAUUUGUUUAAUAACCUAAGGCCUUUCGUGACGGUGAGACACGGCUGCUCCUGGCAGCACUGAUCUACUACAGAGAAGAUGAUGGGCAUUGAAGGAACUACAUAUGGAGUUUACUUUCUUUAUAGCCAAAGCUAGUCAUUUGGGCAAAAAAAACCUGCUCUUGCCUCAAUUGCUGACAGUAUACUGUCCACACUGGACCAGCAGGAUGCAAAGAAAGUGACUGCUAAACUUUGCCAAGACAAGGAAGGACAGUCCUUCAAGAUGUCCCUGUAGGCAAAGUUUCUCUCCUGUUCCCAAAUACCCACAAGCCACUUCCCAAAUAAUUGACUCAGAGGCUUAAUAUUACUAACUAGUUCUUAGACUUAAAUUAACCCAUAAUUCUUAUCUAUGUUUAGCCAUGUGGCUUAGUAAUUUUUUCAGUAGGGCAUUCUCAUGUUAAUUCCUCUGUAUCUAGCUGUCAGGAAAUACAGGCAGAGUGACCAGACUAGGAGAAUUCUGGGAAGAGGAAAGGCAGAGAUGGGGUUGUCAGUCAGAUACAGAGGAAUUAACAUGAGAAUUAGACUGAGAAAAGGUACCAAGCCAUAUGGCUAAACAUAGAUAAGAAUUAUGGGUUAAUUUAAGUGUAAGAGCUAGUUAGUUAUAAGCCUGAGCAAUAGGCUAAACAGUUUACAAUUAAUAUAAACUUCCAUGUGUUUAUUUGGGACUGAACAGCUGUGGGACCAGGAGGGACAGAAACUUCCAUCUAUAAUUCCCUACUUCUCAAAAAUGUCUAUCAGAUAUGCCAGGCCUGAAGGCCAAAGAUGGAUGCCCCAGUGUUACAGAAGAACGUUCAGUGACUGUCCAGGCAGCCUGAUGACCCUGUUGUUAGGUAACAUUUCACCCUUCUGGGAUCUUUGAUGGAGUUAAAGACUAAAUAAUAAGACUUAAAGUUUUCCUUCGUUAUGAUAAAAGGUAAACUAGGUAUAAAACUUUAGAUUCACAAAGAUAAGAUAAAUAAUACUUUCUCUAAUUUUGCCAAAUACAAAUGGAUUGGAUAUUAUAACUGUGAUUCUUACCUGAUUACUAUUUUUGUUGUAUGUAAUCUUACUAUGUUAAAGCUAACCUUCCUUUUUAAUUAGACAAAGAUGGAAAAAUGCUUUAGGACAAUCUUUGUACACCGGAAAUAUGUAUUACUCUCAUUAGUUAAUAAAGAGUUGACUGGCCUAUAGCUGGGCAGGAGAGAUUAGAUGAGAGAGCCAGACUAGGAGGAUGCUGGGAAGAAGAAGGGCAGAGUCUGAGGAGUCUAGAGUCAGACGCAGAGGAAGCAGGACGUGUAGAAAAUGAGGUAACAAGCCAUGAGUCACUUGGUAGAAUUUAGAUAAGAAAUAUGGGUUAAUUUAAAAUGUAAGAGUUAGCUAGUAAGCAACCUGAGCUAUUGACCAAGCAUUUAUAAUUAAUAUUAAGUGUCGGUUAUAUGGGAGUGGCUGCUGGGACAGAAAAUGUCUGACUGCACAGAGAAAUACACCAACUUACUUACAUAGGCAGAAUCACAUCAGACCUCCGACCAGCAAUCCUAAAAGCCACAAAAGCAUUGAAUGGUGUGUUUCAAGCCCUGAAAGCAAAUAACCACCAAUAAAGAUUCAGCAAGGACAGCUUUCAAAUUGACAAAAUAAACAGGAAAAAGCAAAUUCUCAUUCAAUGUAAAUAAUGUCUAAUUGGGUAUUCUGUCUUGAGAAGUAAUAAGCUACCCACCAAUAACAACAGCCAAGCAAAGCUUGUGCCAUGCACCUCACUGUGGCAUGCACCUCACCAACAACUCCAGCUAUUUGAGAGGCCACAGUGGGAGGAACACAAGUUUAAAGCCAGCCUGGGCUACACAUUGAGAACCUGAAGAGUAAAUUAUUAUAAUAAAGUAAAGUGAAUGAACAAUAUCAGGGAAACCUCUUAGGAGAAUUUAUCUAGGUCCUGCUAAUUUUUUGUUGCCUUUGUGAGUGGUGUUUGCUUUUUUAUUUUGAUCUUUAUCAUUUUAGUUACCUGAGUCUGCUGUUCAAUAUGUGCAUUGAGGGCAUUGCUUGUACCAGGCACUGUUUCUGCCAACAUAAUUCUGAGCCAACCCAUGCAUCUGAGCCACCUACACCACCUCAUACAUAGGAGCUCCCGCUACCACACCCUUCCCAUAUCUCAGAAAUCUUUGUGCAUUUUUAUGUCCUAUGGGGCUUCAGGAUGGAUAGUGGUCAGCCUCCCAGGCACCUGACUCAUCCUGCUCAGACAGAAAACAUAAGUGCAUUCACUGCAGAGAUGGCGUUCUUCAAAGUGGCAUUUUCUGCAGUUGGCGCUUAGCCUGUCAGGAAGAUUUAAGCUGGGAGAUGGGGGUGAGGGGCUCAUAUCCAAAUAGUAGUUUCUGCCUAGGUAUAUGAUCAUUGUUUCAAAGAAACAUGUUAAUUAAAAAAAAAAAAAAAAAAAGACGCCGGGCGAUGGUGGCGCACGCCUUUAAUCCCAGCACUCGGGAGGCAGAGCCAGGCGGAUCUCUGUGAGUUCGAGGCCAGCCUGGUCUACGGCGCGAGAUCCAGGAAAGGCGCAAAGCUACACAGAGAAACCCUGUCUCGAAAAAGAAAAAAAAAAAGGAAAAAAAAAAAAAAAAGACAUGUCAUGGCCAGUGGUGACUGUUUUAAUUUCAAUGACAAUGUGUGAAUACUGCCAGAUCCAUGAAAUAUUAAUUAAAAUUGAUGUUUACACAGUCAUUAACAUUGAAACCAAAUGACAUUUUUGAGAAUAACUGCCAACCAAGAUUACUACAUCCAGCAUUGUCAACUUUAAAAUCAACAUCUUACUUUUUACCUUCUACCCACUGACUUCAUUUGAACUAGAGUGCUUGUGGGGGUGAGGAAGACCUGGUGGGGACCAGUGUGUCAAUGGAAAAAAGAGCACAGGGCCCAGUAAACCAUGGUCACCAUUAGUGACUGCUGACAACUUCCCCACAGAAUGUAAAGCCACCCCAAGACAAAGGUGAAUAGUGGUUCCCAACCUAUACUUCACAUUAGAUACAUAUACACAUACAAUAUGCAUGCCCCAUGUGGCAGAAGCAUUAACAAUACAAAUAGUUCCAUUCCUUCCAUCUUUUAUUCUUCACACCUUUGGGAAUUGAACCAAGGCCUUUACACAUUCUAGACAAGUAUACUACCACUGAGCUGUGUUACCAGCCCUACUCACCCUGCGCUUAAGAACUCAAGCAGAUUGUAUUUUCUCAAUCAACUGGCAUCAACUAUGGCAAUGAGAUUUGCUUUGCCAAUGGAUAUGAGCAUAAGUGUAUACAGUUACUCCUGGAUAAGAAAUGUAAGAGCUCGGGGGCAGUUCUCUGAGUUCUCUUCCUCUACCUCAUCAAGUAAUAAUAUCUCAAAGACUACAACAUCCACAGGCAUGUUCCUGGUCCAAUGCUUUAUAUAGUCUCCCUUGUCUGGCAUGGACCAGGGGUGAAAAGUAAACUUCGGAUGUGUCACUGGAUUGUGCUUUUGUUUGGGGUUUGGUUUGUAUCAAACAUCAUUUAUCAGUGCAAACCAAGUCCUUUAUCUGUUGUUCAGCUGAUCUAAUCUAUUAUGAUCUUUGGGGAAAGUUCUCAGUAAUAUACUUAGUAACAUAGUACAUAUAUAGGGCCACACAUUACUGCAGAUUUAAAUGAUUUGGGACUGUAUUUUGUUUCACACAAUCUUUACCUUAAACUUACAUUUUAGGAUCUCAACACUGAUGUGACUCACCUGUGCUGGCAACAGGAAAAUACCUUUGGUCUGCAUACAUCCUCCAAAUGAACAGGGUCUUUCUGCACCCACACUACUGAUGAGAAAAUAAGAACUAAGCAUCUCACUGGCUAGCCUCAGCUUAGGCAGGAUAAAGCUUACCAGUAGCUGCUUCUUAGCUUCCAAACCCUGUGCUGCUUUCCAAUUUAAUUUUGUAAGGGAAUCCCUGAGAACUUUGUUCACAUGUUAGGUGAUCUAGGCCUCCCACUGAGAAAUUCUUACUUAUUGGGCCCAAAGUAGAGAAACAUAUUUUUACGGUCUAUUUAUCAUAGACAAACCUACAAAUCCCUUAAGCCUUUACACGCACUAUAAUGCACUCUCCCUACAGAAAAGAAUGGCCGCUGCCUUCUUGAUUCAGCCUUUUAACAUCUGGAAUUAUUGGGUCACAACUAUUGAAACAAUCUCUCACUAAGUUAAUGACUUCCGAAAAUAUGGGAUGAACAGCAUAAGUUAAAGAAACAAACAGCCUCACAAAGAGUAGAAGAAAGACGACCUCCAGAGAUGCAGGGGACGACGCAGGGGACGGUGUUAGAGAACAGUGAAACCUGUGCCAUGAGUUAGUCCCAACGAUCUAAUCUAUCUUGAGUGAGUCCACAAAAGAUUCAGUUUCUGGGAGAAAACCUGGCUGCCCUUGAUUGCCGUGUCCUCAUUGGAGGAAAAGGCAUCUUAUUGGCAAAGACUCUAUAUACACAAAGUGAAAACACUGCCCAAGAAUAAGUCAGAGGACUGCUUCCCACCUAAGGGGGAAGCUGGCCAUUGGAAGCUCAAAGACAGAAUGGCCAGCCAUGCAGCCACUCUGCCGUGAGGCACCUGUACAACCCACAAUGAAAUUCCUUCCUCUGACACUGGAACUUUGUCACUAGUGGGCUGCUUGAUAUCCUUUUAUAAAGACAUGGCAACCUCACAAAUUUGAAUCUCUGGCAUCUACUUAAAGGUGUUUAUCUGUGUGCCUGUGUUUAGGUGUGUGUGCCCAGAUGAUAGCACAUAUGGCCAAGGAGUCAAGAGAUGACACAGAUCCCCUGAAAGUUAUAAGCAUCUGUGAGCCACCUGAUGGAGGUGGUAGAAACCAAACCAAGGUCCUGUGCAGGAGCAGUACUCAAUGAUUGACAGCCAAGCUAUUCUUCCAGCCCUACAACUUCUCUUUAAAAAAAGGAAUUUUAUAAAAAAGGAGCAAUUAAACAUAUGUAGUUUAUAUACACUCCAUAGUUUAUGGUUGACUAUGGAAUACAAAUUACUGCAGGAAAGUUGAACAAACCGAGUGGUCAGCUCACAAAAACAAAGAGCAUCAUAACGAGCUUUGUUUAGAGGAAGAAGGUAAAAUGAAUAGUCUUGUAUCUACUGAGUAAACUAAACCCAUGCUUUACAAGUCACAACAAUUUUUUAAAACCCUCUAAGGUCAGAAGGCUUCAUAAGUAAAUUCUGACAAAAUUUUAGGGAGGAAACAGUGCCAAUUCUACUUUCAAAAAUUCCAAGUGGUCCAGGAGUAGUGGCACACACCUGUGGUCUCAGUACUCAGGACAUGGAAGCAGGAGGAUCGUGAGUUGAAAGAUGUUUGGGGCUAUUUGACGAGUUCAAGGCUAGCCCAGACUACCUUGCUGUGGGAUGGUCUGUAUGUCAAAUGUGUUGCUGAUUGGUCAAUAAAUAAAUCACUGUUUGGCCAUUGACUAGGCAGGAAGUAUAGGCAGGACAAGGAGGAGAAUAGAGCUGCGAAGUGGAAGGCUGAGUCAGAGAGACACUUCCAGCCGCCAUGAUGAGAAACAGCAUGUAAAGAUGCCGGUAAGCCAUGAGCCAUGUGGCAAGGUAUAGAUUAAUGGAAAUGGAUUAAUUUAAGCUGUAAGAACAGUUAGCAAGAAGCCUGCCACGGCCAUACAGUUUGUAACCAAUAUAAGUCUCUGUGUUUACUUGGUUGGGUCUGAACAGCUGUGGGACUGACAGGUGAGAGAGAUUUGUCCUGACUGUGGGCCAGGCAGGAAAACUCUAGCUACACUACCUAGUAAAACACUUUUACAAAAACAAAGAUAUUAAAUGAACAAUAACAUUUGCUGACUCAUUCUAUGAUGACAGAAUUACUCAGAUAUUAAAAUCAUGUAACACAUUAUAAAAAGAAAAACUAAGAAAUUUUCCCAUAAAUAGAUAUAAAGCUCUUUGACAAAAUUCUAGGGAAUAUAAUAAAGCAAUACAUAAAUGUAAUUUUAUGACCAAAUAAGAAUAAUCAUGAAAAUGCAAAGUUUGUUUAACAUUUUAAAUCAGUCCAUGUGAUUAUUUAUAUUAAUGUAAUGGGAAAAAAUCAAACCAUAAUCAUUUCAACAGGAGCAGAAAGAGAAUAAAAGACUAAAGAAGAAAUUUGGUUCCCAGCACCCACAAUGGGCAGCUCACAAACCACCUGCAGCUCCAGGGAGCCGGGUGCCCUCUUGCACCCUCUGGCACUGGCACACAUGUGCGUAUGCACAGGCAGAUACACAGCUUCAUACAUAAAACAACAUCAAAAAUAAAAAGGAAAAUACACAGUCAUGUGCUAUGUAAUGAAGUGACAGUUAUUGAAACAUCAGUGGUCCCGUAAGAUUAUAACGGAGGUGAGAAUUUUCUAUUGCUUAAUGAUGUCUUAGUCUUUGUAACACUGUACUGUAACAUUUUAAUCACAUGUUUGUGGAGAUGCUGUGUAAACAAACCUACCUGACUGCCAGCUAUAGAUAAAAGUAUAACGUACAAUUAUAUACAGCACAUAAUGCUUCAUAGUGAUAAUAAACAGCUGUGUAUGCAGGAUAUUAUACAUUUUAUCAUUGUGGACUAUACCUGUGUGUCGCUAGAGUUUUCCUGCCUGGCCCACAGUCAGGGCAAAUCUCUCUCACCCGCCAGUCCCAAGCCGCUCAAACCCGAUCAAGUAAACACAGACACUUAUAUUGGUUACAAACUGUAUGGCCAUGGCAGGCUUCUUGCUAACUGUUCUUACAGUUUAAAUUAAUCUAUUUCUAUUAAUCUAUACCUUGCCACGUGGCUUGUGGCUUACCGGUACUUUACAUCUUCCUUAUCCUGAUGGCGGCUGGCAGUGUCUCUCUCACCCAGCUUCCUGUUCUCUCAAUUCUCCUCUCUGUUAGUCCCGCCUAUACUUCCUGCCUGGCCACUGCCAAUCAGUGAUUUAUUCAUUGACCAAUCAACAACACAUUUGACAUACAGACCAUCCCACAGCACCUAUGUGAAACAGAACACAGUGCCAUACCAGCCACACACAUCUUCAUUGCACUGAAGCCACACCAAAUGACUGGCCUACCCCAUCUGUGUUUGUAUAUGCACACAUGAUGUUCACAGAAUGCAGGAACUCUCUAGUGAUGAAUUUCUCCAAAUGUGUCCCAGCCAUUAAGCAGCAUGAAACUACAUCAUGUGGACAACAACUAUAAGAAAGGUAGAAUGACUGUACCAGUGACAGAAAAACUAACCCAUGUAACUGAAUGUUGCAGCACACAAAGAGGGAUAUUUUAAAACAACAGAGGGGUUUUCACUCCAUCUGAAAAUAUAAUAACCAUAAGCAUUCAUGCACCUAACAACAGAACACCAAAAUACAUGAAGCAAAUAUUUCCAGAAAUGAGAGAUACAUAGGAAAUUAGCAAUAGUAGAACCUCUAGCACUCUCCUUUCAAUAAUGGAUAGAACAGUUAGGCAAGAGAUCAGCAUGGAAACUGGGGGCUUGAAGACACCUACAGAUCAACUAGACCUUUUAGAAUAGACUCUUCUUGAAAACAAUGUAGCAUUGUGAGAGACGAUCUCUAAGAUACAUUGUGUGUUAAGACCACAAAACAAGGCUUAAUACAAAUUAAUAGAAAAUACGAAGCAUGUCUUCAGAAUGCAGUGGGCUGACAUUAGAAAUUGAUAACAGAAAGAACUCUGGGAAACUCAGGAGUGUGUGGAAUUAAACAACGCACUCCUAAAUAGUGAACGGCUAAAGAGGGAAAUCUAAAUUGAAGCUAGAGAACAUUUUGCCAUGAAGGACAGUGAAGACACAGCACAUUUAAAUUCAUAGGACAUAAACUCAGCAAAAAUAAUAUUGAGAAGGGAAAAUAUGGUUGAAAAUGUCCACUUGAAAGUAAAAACAAUCUCAGAGCAGUCCCCCGAAUUCCUGCCUUAAAACCAGGGGAAAGAAGAGAAAAACCAAGCAUAGAGGGAAAAGAAGGAAGGAACUAGCAAAGGUUAGAGUAGAAGACACCAGAGAAAAGACGGUGAAACCAAAAGGUAAACUCUUUGAAAAUAGAUUUUAAAAAGAAAACUUUCACUAGAGAGAGCGGUGUCAAAUUCCUGGAUCACAAAUAUAAGAAAGAAAAUGACACCAAACACAAGAUGAUAGUUCUGACAGGAGGGCUCACCAAGAAAAGGGGCUUGCCGUGCAAACCUUAAGAUCUGAUCCCCGGAGCCCAACCACGUGGUGGAAGGAAAAAAACGCAACUCCACUAAGACAUCCUGUAACUUCCCCAUGCCCUCAGGCAUGCACGCAUGCACGCAAAAAUUAAUGGUAAUAAAAAUAGUUGAAAAAAAUUAACUACAAGAAAAUAGAAGGCUCCAAAGCACUCAAUAGAUGGGUACAUGUGGCAGCUGUCACCUUAUUUUCCUUAAUAGUAAGAGACAGAUGGCUGUUUGAAGUAAAAUUUACUAAAACAUUGCGUUGUGCGGGGGGUUAUAAACGUGGGUGUAAAAUUACAUGACAGUGUUAUAACAGGUAGUGUAUAAAGUCAUGCAGCUUAAGGCUCUCAUUGUUUCCGUCAAGCAGUGUGACACAAAAUGUAAGUCAAUGGUAAUAUGUCAAGAAUAAAGAUUGCCACCCUGAGAACAACCUCCAAAGACCUUUCAAAGAGGCACACGUAUAAAGGCAACAGAGAAAUGAAAUGGAAUAUUCCAUUCAGCCCAAAGAAUAUUUGCUAAUAUUAAUUAAUUUAUUAUUAUAAUAAAAUCGCUACACAAGUUAUCUAGAGUAGAUUAUUACUAUAUAGAGACAAUGAGAGGUAACUGUCUCAUGGGUCAGCAUAAGGAUCUCUGGCUGUGUGAACUUGGGCAUCCACAUUAACUCACUGAAUCUUAUGGAGAACAUUAAAACCCACCAAGAUAGAUGCCAUGAUGAUAACAUCAUAUACUACCUAAUUUACUGGAACACAGACAUUUCUCAAUAAGUAUUUAUUGAAUUAGUUCAGUAACAUGCAAACAAACACAACAGAUUUUUACAUGUGACUAGCACAGAAAAAAAAGCCUAUGAAAUAUUAGCUAUGUUUUUCAUUUUUACUAAAAAUCCACAAGGAUAAGCCAGGCCUAGUGAGCACACGGCUGUGAUUUUAGCUGAGGCAGGAGAAUCACAAGCUCCAACUCCAGUAGCAUGACAUGCAAAUAAAAAACCCUCACAAAUGUAGGUUGUAGUAACUUUCAAAAGACGCCAGGUGGCAUCAGAUAAUAAAAAUUAUUAGCACUUUAUAAUCCUCUCCAGGAGGCCAUUGUACUAUAAAUUGCAAAGUACAUAUAUUUAUGAAAUGUUAAGAUUUAGAUUUCCUAAGUCAAUGUACAAAUUUCAAACGCUUUUUUAGUUAUUCCCAGUUCAGCAUCAACUCCAUAUGGUGUAUCUACCUUUGCCCCAUCAAGCAAAAAUCAGGCCAAGGCUCACACAGUACAGGCUGUUUUGUUUUAGGCUCACCUCUCCCAGCAAGUAGGCAUUAACACAGAGUGAUAGAUGGGAAAACGGAAGCAUGGGGUCAAAAUUAGAACUCUUGUUUGUUUGUUUGUUUGUUUGUUUGUUUGUUUGUUUGUUUGUGAUGACAGGUGCCCUCUGUUCCUACACAUCUCACCUGACCACUCAGAGCUGUCUCAACGGUAGUACUUUUCCUACCUUUGUGCAUCAGAGUGGUCAAUGACAUGUGUGUUCUCUGACUCAAGGUAACUCUGGGAGGUAGGGACAGUCCUUAUCAUUUUCCGGGAGAGUAAAACAAAGUUCAAAGAGACAUGAUCACUUCCUCGGGGGCGGGGGCGGGGGAGAGCAUAUAUCCACAAGAUGCACCCUGGGUUCAAACCUGGGUUGUUUGUAUUCAGUGCCUGACUUUUUGUCCAUGUUGGUUUCCAUGUGAAAUCAAAUCUUACCUACAAUGAAGUGGAAUGGGUUAAUAUAUAUUCAGACAGGACGGAAAGGAAACUCAGAAACAGCUCUUAGCAUAUGUAAGGGGUGACAUGGCACACGGGUGGUAUUUCAAAUCAGUGAGGACGAAUGAUGGUCUUUCCAAUUGACUACGCCCUGACAGCAUACUCACUUCAUACCACACGCCAAGCUCCAAGUGGUCCAAAAUUUUUAUUUUAAAUAAUAAAAUACAUUUACCAAUAUUUCUACAUGUGCUAUAUAUCUUUACUCCCAAUUUCAUGGAUGUAUAUAUCUUGAACAUUACCCCCCCCCAAUUCCUCCCUUAAUCUCCACCUGGCCCAGGAUAUCUCCCCUCCCACUUAAAGUUCCCUUCCCCCUGCUUCUAACAAUCCACUGAGUCCAGUUAGUGUACGGUUACCUACUGGUACAUGGACAACCUACCAUAGACUACCCCUCAAAGACAAAUGACUCUCCUCCUGUGGCAGCCAUUAAACCAAGAGCUCCUCAGCCAGGGUGGAAGCGCAAGAACCCUUCCCACCUCCAUGUUGGGAUUUUUAAGUAGCUUAAUCUUGCCCUAGUCUAGGCGAAUGUCCAUAGCACAGUACUUCACGGUACCCUUACCCGUUCUCUGCCUCUUACAUUCCUUCUACCCACUCUUCUGAGAUGUUCCCCAAACCUUGAGGGGGGAUAGUUCAUACAGAUGUACCACCUACGGCUGAACACUCACAGUCAUUUCUUUUCAGCACUUAGAACAGUUCUGAAUCUCUACAUUAACCACCACCCACUAAUUCGAGAAGCUUCUCCCACCAAGGUUGAGUUACAUUCAUCUAUGGAUAAAAACACAGAUAUUUAAAAAGCAUUUGGCAACAUGACCAUUUAGUAAAACACCGAAAGUUUCCCCCUUGGACCUAUGACUUCCCCAGCCCAUGUACUUUGACUGUGUUUAGAGCUCCAGGCAUGAAUUCUCUCCUGUGACACAGGCCUCAAAUCCAAUCAAGACAACAGUUGACUGCCACCAUAAACAAUGUCACCACUGUUGCAGCAUCUUGACUGGUAGGUUAGUACUAUUGCAUUGCAUGCAGGGUCUGGUGCUUUGUUCUCCCAUCAGCCCACAUACCACCUUCCAACGCUAAAAAAAAAAAAAAAAGCUAAUCAAUAGGGAGAAGUUUCUGGUCGAUCAGGAUGGCUUUUCUAUGUCCUACGUCCAAUGUACUCUCACCCUAAACUUCCACUUCCAAUUAAUUACUCAUGCUGCUGGCUUCUUUCUAUUGCUGCUGCUUUGUUUUUGUUUUAAGACAGGGUGUUACUAUAUAGCCCAGGUUGGCAUUGAACACACAAACCUCCUGCCUCAACCUCAGGAGUGCUGAGAUUAAAGGCAUGUAUGACCAAGCCUUGCCAGCUGGCUUCUUAUUCAUGUUUGUUUUAUAGGUCAUUGUUUUCCCAACACUAUCUAACCCAUAAUCAAGUAGGAGAAAGAUCCAUGAACUAGAUCCUACACAACUCAACUGCAAUUAUGACCUCAGCUAUUCAAACUUUUGGGAGCUCAGUUAGUUUUCUCCUCACUAAAGAAGCUGACCUGGGUGGUCAAGAGUCCAAACUUCUAGGAUUCUCCUUCAACAGUCUCUCCUCCAUCAUCACAGUUAGAUGAAGGUAAUAAAUAACCACCCUUCUCCUGGGUUAGAUCAAGUAAGAUAGGAAAUAGAGAAGACAGAUAAAUAUUAAGCAAAGCCGUGUGGGGUUUUGUUCUGUUUUUUACUAGUGUGAAGAGUGUUGACAUGUCUGUAUGUAUGGCCACAGGAGCAUGGAAAUAUCUUCCUUCCCAUGACAGAGCUGAAUGUUCCCACCCAGCCAAAGACUCUCAGUCUCUCCUCACAGCAUGGCAGGGGGGAAGCGUAAGAAAGACUGCAGCACCCAGCCAGCAACCACGGCACUUUAGCCGAAGAGCUGGUUUCAUACAUGGAAUCUGAUCAUACAGUUCUCCAUUCCUCUCAGUAACUAGCCUCAUUCAAAGGUUUUCCCCUUUCCUUUAGGAAAAAAAAAAAAAAAAAAAAGCAUAAAAUUCUCUAAAACCAUCACCAUAUCUAUUCUGUGCAGCAUUUCCAGAUGAAUCAUCCAAAUGCAUGCCCUCACAGGGGUUGCUGCACAUAAUCUGAUCUAUGACUCAGGAAUCCUGAAGUCCUGGUUCCUUUACCUACAUGAAUAUGGGGGAAAUUUUCCUCUACCACUGUGUAAGAAAUGUUCAUCCACAGUACGGCAUGGUUAGAUGAUCCUUCUCUCUGUCAAUUCAAGUUUCAAAGACUUUAACUGUAGUCUAAAAUCCCUUAGUGUGCAACUGUCCCUAAAUGACUAGUGAAGAUGUGACGUCAUCCUCCAUGGCUUCCUAGUCUGUCUGGCAAACAGACUUCUAGCCCAUCUAGUACUCUCUUUCUUGCUUCAUCUACAUGGUAUCUCCACUCUCAACAGGGUUUUUCCAGCUGCUCUUUCCUCUAGGAGAUCCAUCAUAAACAGCACAUCUCUCUGAAGCCUCCUGGAUUUUUCCAGAGAGAAGUUACAGCAUGUUCAGGUGUAGAUAGGGAGCCUAUUUGUCACAUUCUCACUUGAGCCAGAGCUGUGCAAUGCCCAACUGUGUCUCUUCUCACUCUCCUGGGGGGCAUUUAUUUAACACAAGUUCUAAACAAUGGGCAAAGGUGUAAAAGGGAUGCAUGGCUAUUUCCAGGCCAGAUCUCCUUCCGGUUCUUCCCUACUCUGUUGUAGCAACUUGGCAGCUGUAUAACUAGAUGUCUGUUUCACAAUAUCAGUGACAUGAAAGACAUAGAGGACUACUGCUUGGUUGAGCAAGUGAUUUGUUACCACAGCACAGCACAGCCUGGUCUGACUUACCUGCAGAAAGAAGGCUGGGGGUCACAUGGCAAGGGCUAUUUUCUCAUCAGCAUACAGAGAUAGAUAGAACCAUGGUGCUGGCGGCCCAGAAUCUAUCUCAUAUAGUUAGGAGUUCAUACCAGUUAUCGUACAUAAAAUAGUUAAGGUAUAUAGUAACAAUUUAUUGCUACAUAUUGUUUUAUUUUAUAAAUCAUAUCAUAUGUCAUUAUUAUAUUAUUUUUAGUAAAUACCAAUGUAUUUUUUCCUUCCUAUUUUGGAUGCUUUAUUUUUUAAGCCAAAAAAAUCCCAGAUUUUCCAGCAGUUCUCAACCUAUGGGUCAAGACACCUUUUGGGGGAUCACGCAUCAGAUAGCCUACAUAUCAGAUGUUUACAUUACAAUUUAUAACAGUAGCAAAAUUACAGUUAUGAAGUAGCAACAAAAUAAUUUUAUGGUUGGGGUUCACCACAACAUAAGGAAAUAUAUUAAAGGGUUGCAGCAUUAGGAAAACUGAGAACCACUGAUUUAGACUAUGCACCUUAGGACCCACAAUAGGCUAUGGCAAGUUGCCCUCCUCCUCAUUAUUUGUUGAAUUUCAUGUCAUUUUUAACCACUUUCUAGCAACUUAAAGGACUUAACAAUUGGGGUUCUGGGAGCUUAGGUAACCUCCUUGAAGUUCUGUAAUAUAACUUGAAGCUAUAGCUUUAUUUUAAUAAAGAUUAAGACAAAUUAAAGGUCAGCUUGAGAAUGUUAGAAAUACUCUUGCCUUCUCUGUACAUUUUCUUAGAAUUUUGAUUUAUUUUAAACUUUAUUAUGGGGAAUGUCAGGAAUAUACAAACUGCAUACUAGUUAGUAUAUAGUAUAAUAUAAAUGAAUUCCCACUUAUCUGCCACCCAAAUUCUGCGAUUAACAAGGUUUUGCCCAAUUGCUUAAUAUACUUUUGUGGUUGUUAUUAUUGCUCAAAUAUUCAUUUGUAAUGAUUUCUUUUACUAUUGUUGUGUAUGUUAAAUCUAAUCUAUUCACUUUAGCAUGGAUCUCUUUAAAAUAAUAUGUUUUCAUGUAAUUACAUUGACAUUUUAUUAAAAAUUACCAAUUUCUAAUGUGAUCUUGUAAAAUUAAAAUAGCAAAA
This is a long non-coding RNA of Peromyscus californicus insignis, 14901 nucleotides long. RefSeq lists it as uncharacterized. The transcript is spliced from 3 exons. The record is from RefSeq and is a predicted model, not a curated record. Lineage: Eukaryota; Metazoa; Chordata; Mammalia; Rodentia; Cricetidae.